GCCUUUUCUCCUAUUUUUUCUCUUUUUUUAAUAAACUGUUUUUACCUGCCAAAAUUGUAGAUUCCUCUAGGGUUGUCGAAAUUCUGAAUUGAUCAACACUCUAUAUAGCUAGAAGAGGGAAUUGUUUUGGGUGGAAAUUCAGCAGCAACUCUCUCUAUGUUGUUCACCAUUGCUUCCUUUUUCAGUUCCGUAUAGUUUUCGGCACAUAAUUGGAGAAAAAGUUCAGAAAUGAAGAUGCAUUUCUGCCACUGUAGUAUGCAGCCCUCUGCCAUUACUCGGUGAGAAUUGCUUUUCGUGCCACUGUAGCAUGCAGCCCUAUGCCAAAACAGCUACGCAAGCUGCACACUCCAGUGAGACAGCUUUGAACAUUCUAUUUGGUCAACUAUCUAAGCAAAAUUCAAAAUAAAAAAUUUCAGAUUCAGGAACUCCAACCCUUGCGGCAUACUCAGGUUGGAGGCUUCCCCGCUGAGUCAAUGGCAGAUUCCAUAUCGCGCGUGGAAUAUCAGACUUGUAGGGGAUACCACUUAACUCAGAAGUAAUACACAGAUCAAAAUUUAAAAGUUACAGACAGGUUAUAUGUUUUCAGAAAGUGCGCAUGUGUUUUUAGAAGCUAUUUUAUACGUGAUGUGUUGAUGAAAAUUGCUCUCAUCUAUUAUAUAUAUGUUCAAAUACUUUAUUUUGGAUUGCU
Long non-coding RNA from Capsicum annuum, 688 nucleotides. RefSeq lists it as uncharacterized. NCBI's taxonomy places the organism in Eukaryota, Viridiplantae, Streptophyta, Magnoliopsida, Solanales, Solanaceae. The record is from RefSeq and is a predicted model, not a curated record. The transcript is spliced from 3 exons.